GAACAGUUCAUCAAAGUACAGUUUAAAUCAAUUAAAGUACUCCAACACCCCUUUGCUACAUGAAACAUGGUAUCUCCCGGAACCUUUAAAAUGGGGCUCGAUAGACUGGGGACUCUUUUAGCCAGAACACUCUAGAAAGGAGACACAACAGAGGUGAGUUACUUGAACACACACUUUACUAUUGUACAAACAGUAACCGUUAAGCUGCAUCCAGUUAAUCAGGCCCAGAUACUACCAUACUGCACAUGUGGAGGUAACCAAACUAGCACUCUGGGUCCAUGUGUUUCUCUUGACAGGGCUGGCCUCCGAUCAACACCAGCUGCAACUUUCACAAAACUGAUGAAUAUAUUCCAAUAAACAUUCAGAACUGUUGUGCGUCAUUUUAUUUACCCAUAACAUAAUGAGCUAUAAUGUACUAAUGCUGCAAAAUAUUAGUGAUGAAGAAGACCUUCAUUACAC
Molecule: long non-coding RNA, 459 nt
Organism: Etheostoma cragini (Arkansas darter)
Lineage: Eukaryota; Metazoa; Chordata; Actinopteri; Perciformes; Percidae
Exons: 4
Source: RefSeq, a predicted model, not a curated record